This 1130-nucleotide long non-coding RNA is filed under the name Lactuca sativa (garden lettuce). RNAcentral describes it as "long non-coding RNA (LSAT_LNC005422)". The record is from RNAcentral. Lineage: Eukaryota; Viridiplantae; Streptophyta; Magnoliopsida; Asterales; Asteraceae.
AUUUAACACCAUUCAACCAUAAAAACUUGAUGACAGUUUUUCACUAACCUGCAAUCAAAAUAUUUUCUUGAAAAAGAAAAAUCAGAAAGAUAUUCCAAGAAAAGCAUUGAUGUUUGGAGAGUCAUAUUCAAGAUUGAGUAAUACACACAAAUCACAUAUAAAGAGUAAAUGAAGAAANCAUAUAAAGAGUAAAUGAGAAACCGAAUAUAAAGAAAGAAUAGAAAAGCUUCAUUUGUUUUGGUUGAAAGAAAAAAUCAAAUUACAAUUACCAUCGAUGCGACAUAACCCAUUUCUUCAAAUCAUCAUAUUUGGAUCGUGAAUGCUUCAACUAUAUGAAAACCGUUGAAUCACAAUAUCUUCAAAUCCUUCUUACAUGUAAGAUUUUAUAUAACACAAAAGACACAAAAAAAUUGGCCUUUUUAUAGUAUUUUUUCCACUGAGUGCUAAUUAAACAUAAUGUAAGUUAUAAAACUUUUGAGUGUUAAAUCAUAAUUAAUAAAACUUUUGAGUUGCAUUAGUUAAAAAAGGGGGUUUCAAAUAAAUGUGGUUUGAGAAAGUUAAAAAAAUGGGGUUUCAAAUGCAUGACAUUCAAGAAAAAAUGCUAGCUUUAUAAGUAUGAAUCCACGCGCGUUGCACGAGAAUAGAAUUACAUAGUUAAAAUAAUAACUUUUACGAAAUUAUUAUUUAAUAUUUCAACUUUCAAACAAAAUGUUAGUAGUAAAACAAACAUAUAGUUAACAUAUUAGUUUUAUUAUAGAUUAUAGUUUAACAUUUAAGUCAUUGUGAUAUAUACAAUUAUUUGAUAAUUUUAUAAACCAUUUAAAAUUGUGUAAAUUAUAUAUCAAAUUAAUGAUAAUAUAACGGGUAACAAAACGUAUGAACAAAAAUAUGAACUGCAACUUUUAGUAACAUAAAAAUAGAAAAACAUCUAUUAUAACAUUGUAUUAGAAAAGAUAUAUAUACAACGAAUAAUAAAAAAAUAUGAAAAAUAAACAUUAUAACUUUUAAUAACAUAAAAACACUAAAACAUCUAUUAUAACAUUUAUAUUAACUUUUCAUAUUUAAAUCGAAAAUCUCUUCAAUUACAUUAAUGAUUUUAAUGAGCAAAACUUUAUAACCAUAUAAGAAAG